Molecule: non-coding RNA, 660 nt
Organism: Leptonychotes weddellii (Weddell seal)
Lineage: Eukaryota; Metazoa; Chordata; Mammalia; Carnivora; Phocidae
Source: RefSeq, a predicted model, not a curated record
GACAAGGAACCCUCUCUGCUGGGUGGAUUUCACCCAUGCACGCCGCCCCCACCACUCACCACUCACGUCCUUCCCCAAUCCUGCCUCCCCAACGCAGACUGAGCUGAUUCUUUAUCCCAUGACCAGGUUCUAUCGGCUCUGAAAAUAGAAGGGACCACAAGAGCCCAAGCACCGAGCGCCCUCAGGUGAGCUCCUGGUGUUCACCCAACUCCUUCUCCUCCCUCCCGCGUCCCCCGGGAACGCUUUCUCUGAGCGGGCGCCAAAGAGGACUGCCUCAGGGAGUCGCGGGCGGACGCUUCGCAGCGCAACCUGGGCACCCAGUGAACAUUUUCUGGAACAGCCCGGCAAGGUCACCUGCUCCCGCUGCUCCGCUCGCUCCGCUGGGAUGGGAGAAAAUGGAACUGGCUCAGGCAAUUAUGGAAGCUGACAAGUCCCAAGAUCUGCAGAGUGGGCUGGCAAGCUGGAGACCCAGGAGAGCCAAUGACUUAGUUCCAAUCUAAGUUUGAGGGCUUGAGAACCAGGGACUGCAAGCUCUGUCCUCUGUUUGGUGGUUAAGGGGCACAAACAUUUAGGAUCAUCACAUCCUCUUGAUGAAGCGAUCCUUUUGUCUUUUUGAAAUGAAUCUAUCUCUGGUAAACUCUUUGCUCUGAAAUAAAUUUU